RNAcentral lists this ribosomal RNA (279 nucleotides) under uncultured bacterium. Its description in RNAcentral is "partial 16S ribosomal RNA". It matches the Rfam family "Bacterial small subunit ribosomal RNA", at positions 506 to 784 of the family's 1533-position model. The record is from RNAcentral.
UGCCAGCCGCCGCGGUAAUACGGAGGAUCCAAGUGUUAUCCGGAAUCAUUGGGCUUAAAGGGUCCGCAGGCGGUUUGAUAAGUCAGAGGUGAAAUCCUACAGCUUAACUGUAGAAUUGCCUUUGAUACUGUUAGACUUGAGUUAUUGUGAAGUAAUUAGAAUGUGCAGUGUAGCGGUGAAAUGCAUAGAUAUUACAAAGAAUACCGAUUGCGAAAGCAGAUUACUAACAAUACACUGACGCUGAGGGGCGAAAGCGUGGGUAGCGAACAGGAUUAGAUA